GACGAACGCUGGCGGCGUGCCUAAUACAUGCAAGUCGAACGCAGUGGGGACGGGUGAGUAACACGUGGGUCACCUCCCAUCAGAGGGGAUAACACUUGGAAACAGGUGCUAAACCGAUACUGAUGGAUGGACCCGCGGUGCAUUAGCUAGUUGGUGAGGUAACGGCUCACCAAGGCCACGAUGCAUAGCCGGCCUGAGAGGGUGAUCGGCCACACUGGGACUGAGACACGGUCCAGACUCCUACGGGAGGCAGCAGUAGGGAAUCUUCGGCAAUGGACGAAAGUCUGAUCGAGCCACGCCGCGUGGAUGAAGAAGGUUUUCGGGUUGUAAAGUUCUUUUGGUAGGGAAGCGGUACCCAACCAGGAAGCCCCGGCUAACUACGUGCCAGCAGCCGCGGUAAUAC
RNAcentral lists this ribosomal RNA (403 nucleotides) under uncultured bacterium. RNAcentral's name for it is "partial 16S ribosomal RNA". It matches the Rfam family "Bacterial small subunit ribosomal RNA", at positions 28 to 526 of the family's 1533-position model. The record is from RNAcentral.